This 1380-nucleotide ribosomal RNA is filed under the name uncultured bacterium. RNAcentral's name for it is "bacterial SSU rRNA". It matches the Rfam family "Bacterial small subunit ribosomal RNA". The record is from RNAcentral.
UUAGAGUUUGAUCCUGGCUCAGGACGAACGCUGGCGGCGCGCCUAACACAUGCAAGUCGAACGGAGCUUAGAGAGCUUGCUUUUUAAGCUUAGUGGCGAACGGGUGAGUAACGCGUGAGUAACCUGCCCUAGAGUGGGGGACAACAGUUGGAAACGACUGCUAAUACCGCAUAAGCCCACGGUACCGCAUGAUACUGAGGGAAAAGGAUUUAUUCGCUUUAGGAUGGACUCGCGUCCAAUUAGCUAGUUGGUGAGGUAACGGCCCACCAAGGCGACGAUUGGUAGCCGGACUGAGAGGUUGAACGGCCACAUUGGGACUGAGACACGGCCCAGACUCCUACGGGAGGCAGCAGUGGGGGAUAUUGCACAAUGGGGGAAACCCUGAUGCAGCGACGCCGCGUGGAGGAAGAAGGUUUUCGGAUUGUAAACUCCUGUCGUUAGGGACGAUAAUGACGGUACCUAACAAGAAAGCACCGGCUAACUACGUGCCAGCAGCCGCGGUAAAACGUAGGGUGCAAGCGUUGUCCGGAAUUACUGGGUGUAAAGGGAGCGCAGGCGGGAAGGCAAGUUGGAAGUGAAAACCAUGGGCUCAACCCAUGAAUUGCUUUCAAAACUGUUUUUCUUGAGUAGUGCAGAGGUAGAUGGAAUUCCCGGUGUAGCGGUGGAAUGCGUAGAUAUCGGGAGGAACACCAGUGGCGAAGGCGGUCUACUGGGCACCAACUGACGCUGAGGCUCGAAAGCAUGGGUAGCAAACAGGAUUAGAUACCCUGGUAGUCCAUGCCGUAAACGAUGAUUACUAGGUGUUGGGGGAUUGACCCCCUCAGUGCCGCAGUUAACACAAUAAGUAAUCCACCUGGGGAGUACGACCGCAAGGUUGAAACUCAAAGGAAUUGACGGGGGCCCGCACAAGCAGUGGAGUAUGUGGUUUAAUUCGAAGCAACGCGAAGAACCUUACCAGGUCUUGACAUCCUUUUGACCGAUGCCUAAUCGCAUUUUUCCCUUCGGGGACAGAAGUGACAGGUGGUGCAUGGUUGUCGUCAGCUCGUGUCGUGAGAUGUUGGGUUAAGUCCCGCAACGAGCGCAACCCUUGCCUUUAGUUGCCAUCAUUAAGUUGGGCACUCUAGAGGGACUGCCAGGGAUAACCUGGAGGAAGGUGGGGAUGACGUCAAAUCAUCAUGCCCCUUAUGCUUAGGGCUACACACGUGCUACAAUGGGUGGUACAGAGGGCAGCAAAGUCGUGAGGCCAAGCUAAUCCCUUAAAGCCAUUCUCAGUUCGGAUUGUAGGCUGAAACUCGCCUACAUGAAGCUGGAGUUACUAGUAAUCGCAGAUCAGAAUGCUGCGGUGAAUGCGUUCCCGGGUCUUGUACUCACCGCCCGUCA